GAUGAACGCUGGCGGCGUGCUUAACACAUGCAAGUCGAACGGAAAGGCUCCUGCUUGCAGGGGUACUCGAGUGGCGAACGGGUGAGUAACACGUGGGUGAUCUGCCCUGCACUUCGGGAUAAGCCUGGGAAACUGGGUCUAAUACCGGAUAGGACCACAUUUUGGAUGGUGUGGUGGAAAGGUUUUCGGUGUGGGAUGAGCUCGCGGCCUAUCAGCUUGUUGGUGGGGUAAUGGCCUACCAAGGCGUCGACGGGUAGCCGGCCUGAGAGGGUGUACGGCCACAUUGGGCCUGAGAUACGGCCCAGACUCCUACGGGAGGCAGCAGUGGGGAAUAUUGCACAAUGGGCGCAAGCCUGAUGCAGCGACGCCGCGUGGGGGAUGACGGCCUUCGGGUUGUAAACUCCUUUCGCUAGGGACGAAGCGUUUUUGUGACGGUACCUGGAGAAGAAGCACCGGCCAACUACGUG
This 467-nucleotide ribosomal RNA is filed under the name uncultured bacterium. RNAcentral's name for it is "partial 16S ribosomal RNA". It matches the Rfam family "Bacterial small subunit ribosomal RNA", at positions 28 to 507 of the family's 1533-position model. The record is from RNAcentral.